This 375-nucleotide ribosomal RNA is filed under the name uncultured fungus. RNAcentral's name for it is "eukaryotic LSU rRNA". The stretch from base 1 to 114 matches the Rfam family "5.8S ribosomal RNA", at positions 42 to 154 of the family's 154-position model. The record is from RNAcentral. Lineage: Eukaryota; Fungi.
AACGCAGCGAAGGGCGAUAAGUAAUGUGAAUUGCAGAAUUCAGUGAAUCAUCGAAUCUUUGAACGCACCUUGCGCCCUUUGGCUAUUCCGAAGGGCAUGCCUGUUUGAGUAUCAUGAACACCUCAACUCUCAUGGUUUGCCAUGAUGAGCUUGGACUUUGGGGGUCUUGUUGGCCUGUGAGCCAGCUCCUCUUAAAUGGAUUAGCUUGCCGGUGUUUGGUGGCGUCACAGGUGUGAUAACUAUCUACGCUUGUGGUUUCCCACCAGGUAACCUUCAGCAAUGGAGGUUCACCGGAGCUCAUAAAUGUCUCUCCUCAGCGAGGACAGAUUUUGACCGUUUGAUCUCAAAUCAGGUAGGACUACCCGCUGAACUUAA